CCCUCCUUCCUGCCCCCCCCCUUCCCUCCCAUUUGUUCGCAUUGCUGCCAGGGCUGCGUGUCACAGCGUGCGCAGCGUGUCACGUGUGCGGUGUGUCAUGUGUGUGCCGUGUGUGCCAUGUGCUGCAUGUCACAGCAUGUGCUGCGUGUCACGUGUGUGCUGUGUGUCAUGUGUGUGCUGCAUGUCACAGUGCGUGCGCCGUGUCACGUGUGUGCAGCGUGUCACGUGUGCUGUGUGUGCCGUGUGCUGCAUGUCACGGUGUGUACCGCAUGUGCCGUGCCUCAUCACUGUGUGCUGCGUGUCACGUGUGUGCUGCGUGUGCCAUGCGCUGUGUCACAGCGUGUGCUGCGUGUGCCGUGCAUCAUCCAUGUGUGCAGUGUGUCACGUGUGUGCUGCGUGUGCCGUGCAUCAUCACCGUGUGCUGUGUCACAGCGUGUGCUGCGUGUGCCAUGUGCUGCAUGUCACAGCGUGUGCUGCAUGUUACAGCGUGUGCCGUGUGCUGCGUGUCACGUAUGUGUUGCGUGUGCCAUGCAUCACCAGUGUGAGCUGCGUGUCGCAGCGUGUGCCACAUGCCAUGCAUUGCUGUGUGCCAUGUGCUGCGUGUGCCACGCGUGUGCUGCAUGCCGCGCUGCAUGCUGUGCUGUGUGCUGCAUGUCACCCACGUGUGCCACGUGCCAUGCAUCAUGCCGUGUGGUGUGUGCCAUGCGUGUGCUGCAUGUUGCGGUGCAUGCCCUGCUGCGUGUCAUGUGCCACGUCACGUGUGUGCUGCAUGUCACGUGUGUGCUGCACGCUGGGCCGUGUGUCACAACGCGGGCUGCAUGUCACGUGCUGCGUGUGCUGCAACGUGUGCUGCAUGCCAUGCACUUGGUGCUCCAUGCAUGCUGCUGUGUGUGCCGUGUGCUGCGUGCCAUGUGCUGUGUGCCAUGCAUCAUGCUGUGUUGUAUGUUGUGUGCCGCGUGCCAUGCACCCUGCCAUGUUCUGCGUGCCAUGUGCUUUGUGCCACGUUCUGUGUUCCGUGUGCCGCGUUGCAACGUGUGCUGCGUGUUGUGCAUCGUGUGCCGUGCACCGUGUGCUGCGUGCCACAACACCCGCGUGCCGUGUGUUGCGUGCUGUGUGCUGUGUGCUGCACGCCAUGCAUUGCGUGCCGCGUGCCGUGCACCGUGUGCGCCGUGCUGUGCCGCGUGCUGUGUGUCACACGCAGAUCCGUGCGCCGUUCCGUGUGCUGUUCUGUGUGCCGUGCGCCGUUCCAUGCGUGCUCUUCUGUGUGCUGCUCCAUGCACCAGUCCCUGUGCACCAGUCCAUGCACCAUUCCAUGCACUGUUCCAUGUGCACCAUUCCAUGUGCACCAUUCAGUGUGCACCAUUCCAUGCACCAUUCCCUGUGCACCAUUCCAUGUGCACCAUUUCAUGUGCACCGUUCCGUGUGCACCGUUCCACGUGCACCGUUCCAUGCCAUUCCGUGUGCACGGUUCCGUGCACGGUUCCGUGUUGCACCCCUUGACCUCUCUCCUCUCUCCCCUCCACAGCACUGGUGCAAAAAGGUGGGUGUGAGAGCACAUGUGUGUGAGAGCACGUGUGUGUAAGAGCACGUGUGUGUGAGAGCACGUGUGUGAGUGUACAUGUGUGAGUGCACAUGUGUUUGGGAGGGUGCGUGUGUGUGAGUGCAGGCAUGUGUGAGUGCAUGUGUGUGUGAAAGCACAUGUGUCUGAGUGCACGUGUGUGAGCAUGUGUGUGUGAGUGCAUGUGUGAGUGCACAUGUGUGUGAGUGUACGUGAGUGCAUGUGUGUGUGAGAACGUGUCUAAUUGCAUGUGUGUGAGAGUAUGUGCGUGAGAGCACAUAUGUGAUAGCACGUGUGUCUGAGUGCACGUGUGUGUAAAAGCAUGUGUGUGUGAGAGCACAUGUGAGAGCACAUGUGUGUGAAUGCAUGUGUGUGAGUGUGUGUGUGGGUGAGCACGUGUCUGCGCAUGUGUGAGUGCACAUGUGUGUGAGUGCACAUGUGUGAGUGCACAUGUGUGUGAGUGCACAUGUGUGAGUGCACGUGUGUGUGAGAGCACAUAUGUGGGUGCACACAUGUGAGUGUGUGAAUCCAUGUGUGUGAGAGCACAUGUGUGUGUGCAUGUGUGUCUGUGUGUGUGUGAGUGCAUGUCUGAAUGCAUGUGUGUGAGUGCACACACGUGUGCGAGUACCCAUCUGUGUGUGUGUGCUCACGUGUGCGUGUGAGUGCAUGCGUCUGUACAUGCAUGUGUGUGCGCACAUGUGUGUGAGUGCACACGUGUGUGUGAGUGCACGUGUGAGUGCGUACAUAUGUGUGUGUGUGUGUGUGUGUGUUCAUGUAUGUAAGUGCACAUGUAUGUGUGCACGUGUGUGAGUGUGCGUGUGCCCCCCAUGUCACACCUCACCCUGCACUACAAUAGGGGCAGCUGUGGGGCACACUGGGAUCUGUGGGGCACACCUGGGGUCUAUGGGGCACACUGGGAUCUGUGGGGAUCUGUGGGGCACACUGGGAUCUGUGGGGCUCAAUGGGAUCUGUGGGGCACACUGACAUCUAUGGGGCUCAGUGGAAUCUGUGGGGCACACUGGGA
This is a long non-coding RNA of Phasianus colchicus (ring-necked pheasant), 2582 nucleotides long. The record is from Ensembl. NCBI's taxonomy places the organism in Eukaryota, Metazoa, Chordata, Aves, Galliformes, Phasianidae.